This 127-nucleotide unclassified non-coding RNA is filed under the name uncultured Basidiomycota. Its description in RNAcentral is "sequence contains ITS1". Lineage: Eukaryota; Fungi; Basidiomycota. The record is from RNAcentral.
AAGAUUCUCUCAGCUGUGCGCUUCGGCUGCACGCUUUGAAUUAUACACACCUGUGAACCUCGGUUGCCCUCUCGGGCUUCCGCUUUAACAUCAAACAACAGUCUAGAAUGUAAAAACUAUAAAGUAA